GCUGCUGUCUAUCAUGCAGUCGAGCGGACAGAUGGGAGCUUGCUCCCUGAUGUUAGCGGCGGACGGGUGAGUAACACGUGGGUAACCUGCCUGUAAGACUGGGAUAACUCCGGGAAACCGGGGCUAAUACCGGAUGGUUGUCUGAACCGCAUGGUUCAGACAUAAAAGGUGGCUUCGGCUACCACUUACAGAUGGACCCGCGGCGCAUUAGCUAGUUGGUGAGGUAACGGCUCACCAAGGCGACGAUGCGUAGCCGACCUGAGAGGGUGAUCGGCCACACUGGGACUGAGACACGGCCCAGACUCCUACGGGAGGCAGCAGUAGGGAAUCUUCCGCAAUGGACGAAAGUCUGACGGAGCAACGCCGCGUGAGUGAUGAAGGUUUUCGGAUCGUAAAGCUCUGUUGUUAGGGAAGAACAAGUGCCGUUCAAAUAGGGCGGCACCUUGACGGUACCUAACCAGAAAGCCACGGCUAACUACGUGCCAGCAGCCGCGGUAAUACGUAGGUGGCAAGCGUUGUCCGGAAUUAUUGGGCGUAAAGGGCUCGCAGGCGGUUUCUUAAGUCUGAUGUGAAAGCCCCCGGCUCAACCGGGGAGGGUCAUUGGAAACUGGGGAACUUGAGUGCAGAAGAGGAGAGUGGAAUUCCACGUGUAGCGGUGAAAUGCGUAGAGAAUGUGGAGGAACACCAGUGGCGAAGGCGACUCUCUGGUCUGUAACUGACGCUGAGGAGCGAAAGCGUGGGGAGCGAACAGGAUUAGAUACCCUGGUAGUCCACGCCGUAAACGAUGAGUGCUAGUGGUUAGGGGGUUUCCGCCCCUUAGUGCUGCAGCUAACGCAUUAAGCACUCCGCCUGGGGGAGUACGGUCGCAAGACUGAAACUCAAAGGAAUUGACGGGGGCCCGCACAAGCGGGGGAGCAUGGGGGUUAAUUCGAAGCAACGCGAAGAACCUUACCAGGUCUUGAAUCCUCUGAAAUCCCUAGAGAUAGGACGUCCCUUCGGGGGCAAAGUGAAGGGGGGGGAUGGUUGCCCCAGCUCGGGCCGAGAAAUUUGGGUAAACCCCGACAGAGCGACCCUUGAUUUAUUUUG
RNAcentral lists this ribosomal RNA (1086 nucleotides) under Bacillus velezensis. RNAcentral's name for it is "bacterial SSU rRNA". It matches the Rfam family "Bacterial small subunit ribosomal RNA", at positions 42 to 1117 of the family's 1533-position model. Lineage: Bacteria; Bacillati; Bacillota; Bacilli; Caryophanales; Bacillaceae. The record is from RNAcentral.